Molecule: long non-coding RNA, 747 nt
Organism: Zingiber officinale
Lineage: Eukaryota; Viridiplantae; Streptophyta; Magnoliopsida; Zingiberales; Zingiberaceae
Exons: 4
Source: RefSeq, a predicted model, not a curated record
CUGCCCUAACUUCUCCAAUCGGCGCCGAUUCUCCCCUUAUCUCCCUCACACGCACGCUCACUCUCUCUGCCGCCGACCGACGAGAGACAAGGGAAAGCCUCGCCUCCGCCUGACUCUUCUUCUCUUCCGACAGUCGCUCUUGCGGAGCGAUCUCACGAGCCACCGUUGGCCGAGUCGGCCAUUGCCGAUCUCUCCCCUGCGCUUGAUCCGCCGGCAUCCGAGCCCCUUCCUUCGAUCACCGAGAAGAGCCCCUUCCUCUCUUCUUCCGAGCACCGAUUAGCCGACCGAAUUCUUCUGCUCUAGAUCUAUUCUGUGUGGUCUUCACUGUGCCCAGCCGAUGCUGCCAUCUCUUGACCCGAACAACGCCGACCUCCUCCACGCUGUGUACUAGUUCCAGAUGCGGAGUCUGUUCUUCCACUGAUCUGGAACAAAGAUUGGGGUUUUUAGUUUACUGAGGUGGAUCUUGUUUCAGUUGAGGGUCUUUUAAGGAGAAGGUGUUAAGUAAGGGGGAUUCCAGUCAAGUGUUGUGCACUGUGGGAAAAAUUUCAGCAAAGAGCAGCAACUAUCUCUUGGCGUGGAUCAGUGAGUACGAGGGUAGUCUUGUGCUGUGGAUUUUCGUGGAUCUGGCAGUCAUUGACUUCAGCAAAUUCCAGCAACUUCAUGUUCUUGAACAAGGCUGUAAAUUGAGGACGGUGAUUCGAGACGGGCGUCUCGACAUUUGGAUUGGUUUGAUUCGAUCUACAUUGG